GAGCUGCGUGGUCAAAACAGAGCGAACUAUUCUUUCGCCUUUUACUAAAGAAUACCGUGUUUUGGCCACUUAAACCGGCAUGCGCCUAUUUUUGGAGGUUUUCCUCUACUCAAGAGGGAG
Small nuclear RNA from Cryptomeria japonica (Japanese cedar), 120 nucleotides. RefSeq annotates it as U5 spliceosomal RNA. The record is from RefSeq and is a predicted model, not a curated record. The transcript has a single exon. Lineage: Eukaryota; Viridiplantae; Streptophyta; Pinopsida; Cupressales; Cupressaceae.